UACGUAGGGGGCAAGCGUUGUCCGGAAUCAUUGGGCGUAAAGAGCGUGUAGGCGGCUCGGUAAGUCCGCUGUGAAAGUCCAGGGCUCAACCCUGGAAUGCCGGUGGAAACUGUCGAGCUCGAGUCCGGAAGAGGCGAGUGGAAUUCCUGGUGUAGCGGUGAAAUGCGCAGAUAUCAGGAGGAACACCAAUGGCGAAGGCAGCUCGCUGGGACGGUACUGACGCUGAGGCGCGAAAGCGUGGGGAGCAAACAGG
RNAcentral lists this ribosomal RNA (253 nucleotides) under uncultured bacterium. RNAcentral's name for it is "partial 16S ribosomal RNA". It matches the Rfam family "Bacterial small subunit ribosomal RNA", at positions 524 to 776 of the family's 1533-position model. The record is from RNAcentral.